GACGAACGCUGGCGGCGUGCUUAACACAUGCAAGUCGAACGGAAAGGCCCUGCUUUUGUGGGGUGCUCGAGUGGCGAACGGGUGAGUAACACGUGAGUAACCUGCCCUUGACUUUGGGAUAACUUCAGGAAACUGGGGCUAAUACCGGAUAGGAGCUCCUGCUGCAUGGUGGGGGUGGGAAAUUUUCGGCGGUUGGGGAUGGACUCGCGGCUUAUCAGCUUGUUGGUGGGGUAGUGGCUUACCAAGGCUUUGACGGGUAGCCGGCCUGAGAGGGUGACCGGCCACAUUGGGACUGAGAUACGGCCCAGACUCCUACGGGAGGCAGCAGUGGGGAAUAUUGCACAAUGGGCGGAAGCCUGAUGCAGCAACGCCGCGUGCGGGAUGACGGCCUUCGGGUUGUAAACCGCUUUCGCCUGUGACGAAGCGUGAGUGACGGUAAUGGGUAAAGAAGCACCGGCUAACUACGUG
Molecule: ribosomal RNA, 468 nt
Filed under: uncultured bacterium
Lineage: Bacteria
Description: partial 16S ribosomal RNA
Rfam family: Bacterial small subunit ribosomal RNA
Source: RNAcentral